RNAcentral lists this long non-coding RNA (4398 nucleotides) under Homo sapiens (human). RNAcentral's name for it is "HSALNT0352745". Lineage: Eukaryota; Metazoa; Chordata; Mammalia; Primates; Hominidae. The record is from RNAcentral.
GAAAUGCUGCAGAGACCCAGCCGGAAACAGUGCUGGCCAGCUCACGCCUGACCCACCCUUAUUCUAAGCAUAGGGUCUGCCUCUGAAGAGCUAAAGACUUCCUGAAAUUUAAAAAUUAGUGCUUUUAUUUGCUUGUCCUGCUAAGACCGUAGGCAAAGGCCAUCCUCCUCCCAUUGACAGUUUAGAGUGGGCAGAAACAACCACGGUUACCCUAGAAGUAAAUCCAGAGCUGCGGGACGCUGGAGGACAAAACCAACCUUCCAGGGAAGCCGAGGAGAAGUCAUGCCUUCAAAAGGAAUCCUGCCAGUGCCAAAUGAUACGAUGUUUAUUCAGCUCAUGUCUUAGCCCGCUGCUCCUGAGCCACAGAAAUCAAAGGGGAACAUUCAGCCACCACCUGCUGAUCAACGUGUAAACAAAGGGGUAGUCAAGACUGAGGAGGACCAGCUUUUGAGGACAAUCACUGCGUGUUGCUCCAGCUCACAUAAAGGCACGGCUCCUAAGGAACAGGCUUGAGACAUGCACAAGUGCUGUGCCAAGUAGUUCAGGAGCCUGGUACAGCUGUUCCCAAUAUGCCUUUACCUCCUGUUGCCUCUUCUAACCACAAUAGGGUGUGGAUGACAUAGUGCCCUUGCUCCCAGAAGAAACUGGGAAAGUUACAACUCAUUAACCAGUUAGGUUAGUGUUGGAACAGUGCUUGCCACAUUAUUCUGAGAAGCCUCAGAUCCGUGAGGGUGAUGUGGAGCUCAGAACACAUGGCCUGACCCCAUGUGGGGUUUUACUGGAGCAGUUGUUUUGAUCUGUCUUACAUCUGGGGGAUCUGCAAGAGAUUUCGAGGGAUGAGGGCCAGUUCCCUUGCUAAAACUUAGAAUGUUUAAAAAAAAAAAAAACUCCCUUGUACUAUUGAGCUUGGUACAUCUUUCCUUGAAAGGAGCUAAAGUGAAAUAACUUAUAGAUCCUGACAUGCAAUGAGCUGGGUUUUUUUCCAAUUUUCUUUGCUUCUUGUCUCUGAACAUAUGCCUCCUUAUAAUUCUUCCUAUAUGUGUUUGAUAGCAUUGUUCUCUGAGUAAUAGUAACCAUGAGAAGAAUAUCUAACAUUUAUUCCAUGCCUAUUGUGUGCCAUGCCACAUGCUGGGCACUUUAUGUGCCCUUAUCCUACCGGACCCCGCUGCAGCCCUGUGAGUGGAUGGUCCCUCUCUUCAGCUCUCAGGUGACACAAAAACAACAACAACAACAUCCGCAACAGCAACUUCUUCAGUUCAUUUAGUUGGUAAAUUCUGGACUCAGAACUGCAAGCUAGGCAGUAACUCAGAGGUUGAGUUGACUUGAUGUAUAAUGUCACCUUUAAUGUCUACUGAACAAGAGAUGUGUGUGUAUAAGUAAGACGUAAAUUAUUUUUUCAUCUUGAAAAGGAAUGUGCUCAAUAGAGAAAAUCUGAAGUUAAAAAAUAAAAAAACAGGAAGAAAAAAUAACCCAUGAUUUCCCAACUCCAAGACCACCAACUGUUAAUGUGUUAAUGUUUGCGCAUAUUUCCUCCCAGUCUAUUUUUAUGCAUAAUUUUUAGCCCUGCAUAUUUAAAACAGCUGUGAUUGUGCAUAUUUUAUUUUGCUUUUGUCACUUUGUAUGACAAUAUAAUGUAUGAUGAUGUUUUUCAUAAUAUUUCAAAUUCUCUAUAAUUUUUACUGGCUAAAUAUUAGUCUUUUAAGUGGAGUAAUUCAGGUUGACAAAUAUUUAUUGAGCACCUAAUAUGUCCCAGACCCUGUGCUCCACCCUGGGAACACACAGAUAUAUAAAAUUCUGUUCUUUUCUUCAAGAACUAGCAGUCUAGUGUAGAGCAAAGAAGGUAACUAGAUAACUAUGUAGUUAUAAUAAUAGCUACCACUGGCUGGGCAUGGUGGCUUAUACCUGUAAUCCCUGCACUUUGGGAGGCUGAGGCAGGCAGAUCAGCUGAAGUCAGGAGUUUGAGACCAGCCUGGCCAACAUGGUAAAACCACGUCUCUACUAAAAUACAAAAACUAGCCAGGUAUGGUGGCGGGUGCCUGUAAUCCCAGCUACUCGGGAGGCUGAGGCAGGAGAAUCACUUGAACCCAGGAGGUGGAGGUUGCAGUGAGCUGAGAUCGUGCUGCUGCCUUCCAGUCUGGGUGACAGAGCCAGACUCCAUCAAUAAUAAUAAUAAUAAUAAUAAUAAUAAUAAUAAUAAUGAUAGCUACCACUACUGAACAUAUAUGAUGUCCCAGGCACCAUUCACAGGUAUGAACUCACUGAAUCCUCAGAGCAACCUUAUGAGUAGGGAUGAUCACUCUGUUCUUUUUAAUAGCUGUUGAGACUGAGGCAUGCCUUGCUAAUAAGAUGGCAUUGCCCAGUGUGGCAGGUUGAGUAAUGGCUCCCUGAAGAUGUCCACCUUCUAAUCCCCAGUACCUGCAAAUAUUACCUUGCAUCGAAAUUACCUGUAAAGUAAAAUGGUAAAAAUGGAAUAUAAUCUUACAUGGAAAAAAGGGAUUUUGCAGGUAUGAUUAAGUUAAGGAUUUUUUUUUUUUUUUUAAGAUGGAGUCUCACUCUGUUGCCCAAGCUGAAGUGCAGUGGCGCAAUCUCAGCUCACUGCAAACUCCACCUCCCAGGUUCAAGAGAUUCUCCUGCCUAAGCCCCUGAGUAUCUGGGACUGCAGGCACGUGCCACCAUGCCCGGCUAAUUUUUAUAUUUUUAGUAGAGAUGGGGUUUCACUAUGUUGGCCAGGCUGUUCUUGAAAUCCUGACCUCAGGUGAUCUACCUGGCCUCCCAAAGUCCUGGGAUUACAGGUGUGAGUCACCAUGCUCGACCUAAGUUAAGGAUCCUGAUACAGGAAGAUUAUCCUGGAUGAUCUGGGUGGGUCCAAUGUUGAGGAGAGUCCUAAUAAGAGGUAAAUAGUAAUGUCAGAGUCACAGAAGGAAUGUGAUGAUGAAAACAGAGAAAGAGAGAGAGAGAAAGGGCAGAAGAGAAGGAAAGAGAGGCUUGAUGCCACACUGCUGACCUUGAAGACUGAGGAAAGGACCGUGAGCCAAGGAAUGCAGGCAGCCUCCAGAAGCUGGAAAUGAAUUCUCCUCUGGAGCCUCCGGAAAGAACAGAGUCCUGUUAACGCCUUGAUUUUACAACUUUUGACUUCUAAAUUUAUGUUGUUUUAAGCUAUUAAGUUUGUGGUAAUUUGUUAUAACAGCAACAGGAAAUAAAUACACGAGGAUUAAAACCCAGGCAGUUUGACCCUAGUGCCAUCGUUCUUAACUAUGGUCAUAUAUGAGGUUAUUAGCUAUGUCCAGGGUGCUAUGUGAAUCUAGAGAAAUAACACUUAACAGAGAGAUAGGGAAGGACAGAUAGUGUCAGCAAGAUGACAAUCUAGCUCUCUUAAGUGGGGCAGGAGUUACGAAGGCAGUGAAGGAAGGAAGGAUAAGGAAUUGAAUUAACAUAGAAAGAUAUGCAUGAUAUCAUAGGUGAAACUAUUCUACUAUUAUGUAUUUGUUUCCCCAUUUCUGUUUUUAGAAAUAUAUACAUGAGUUUAUUUAUAUUUAUAAUCAUAUGUGCAGAUAAUAUGCUCUUAUAGUGCUCUUUGGGGAGUGGGUUUCUGGGUAAAUGUAAGAGAAGGCUUUACUUUUUGCUUAUAAAUUUUCACAUUAUUUGAAAAUUUCAUCACACAUGUAUUAUGUUGGGCUUACUUUUUUGUAAAAUAAAGUAUGUGUAAUAUAUCAUUUUUCAAAAUUGGAGAAAAUGAUAUGCAUUGCUGGGAUGCAAAUUUUUAUGUAUAAUAUAAAGCUUUGUGCUUCUUUAGUAUAAUUUCCUUAGUAUGAAAAUUUCCUAGAGGUAGAAGUGCUGAACCAAUGGAUACAAUAUUUGGAAAACAUAUUUAAAAAAAAAAGAUAUGGUAGACAAUGGAUAAGCCAAAAUGAAUGUAUGAAGGGAAAGAAGAUAUUGAAGUUGGUAAAGAGAAGACAUGAUAGUUGCCUACUUGUAUGUAAAGGCAGAAACAUGGUAUAUUAGUUUGCUAGGACUGACAUAACAAAGUACCACAAACUGGGUGCCUUAUACAACAGAAAUUUAUUUUCUUACAAUUCUAGAGGGUAGAAGUUCAAGAUCAAGGUGUCACCAGAAUCAAUUUCUUCUGAGGCCUCUCUGCUGGGCUUGUAGAUGGCCGCCUUCUCCCUGCGUCUUCACAUGGUGUCUUUCUGUAGAUGUCUGUGUCCUAAUUUCCCCUUCACACAAGGAUACCAGGCAUAUUGGAUUAGGGCCCACCCCAAUGAUUUCAUUUUAACUUAGUGACCUAAUUAAAGACUCUGUCUCCAAAUACAGUCACAUUAUGAAGUUUUCGGGUUAGGAUUUUAACCUGUGAAUUUUGGGGGAACACAAUUCGCCUUAUAACACAUGGAAAAGAAAGCU